GACGAACGCUGGCGGCGGGCUUAACACAUGCAAGUCGAGCGGAAAGGCCCUGCUGUGGUGGGGUGCUCGAGUGGCGAACGGGAGAGUAACACGAGAUUAACCUGACCUGGACUUUGGGAUAACUUCAGGAAACUGGUGCUAAUACCGGAUAGGAGCUCCUGUUGCAUGGUGGUUGUUGGAGAGUUUGGGCGGCUUGGGAUGGACUCGCGGGUUAUCAGCUUGUUGGUGGGGUAGUGGCUUACCAAGGAUUUGAAGGGUAGCCGGCCCGAGAGGGUGACCGGGCACGUUGCGACAGAGAUACGGCCGAGAGUCGUACGGGAGGCAGCAGUGGGGAAUAUUGCCCAAUGGACGGAAGCCUGAUGCAGCAACGCCGCGUUCGGGAUGAUGGCCUUCGGGUUGUAAACCGCUUUCGCCUGUGACGAAGCGUGAGUGACGGUAAUGGGUAAAGAAGCACCGGCUAACUACGUG
This 468-nucleotide ribosomal RNA is filed under the name uncultured bacterium. RNAcentral's name for it is "partial 16S ribosomal RNA". It matches the Rfam family "Bacterial small subunit ribosomal RNA", at positions 28 to 507 of the family's 1533-position model. The record is from RNAcentral.